CAACUAACGAGUGAAGAGGGAAGAGCUCAUCAUUGGCAUCUGGCAGUGUUGCACUGUCCGAGUUGUAGAUGAGGAGUAGUCCAUCUGGGCUGCAUGGCGUCCAAGUACAAUAGGCCGUCAGUGGGACAUCAUUGAGGGUGACAAUCCCGUCCUUGAUGUCAAUGUGCAAGUCCGUUACGAUGGCUAUCUCAGAGAGUCGAGCAGUGUGUGAUCUGCUGCUUAAACAUAGGAGGCGGAUUCCCUUCUUCAAGCUUUAACAUACAAGGGAAGAGACC
This 275-nucleotide ribosomal RNA is filed under the name Cantharellus cibarius (golden chanterelle). Its description in RNAcentral is "partial 28S ribosomal RNA". The record is from RNAcentral. Lineage: Eukaryota; Fungi; Basidiomycota; Agaricomycetes; Cantharellales; Hydnaceae.